GGAGGUUACACUCAAUGGUAGAGCGUGUGCUUAGCAUGCACAAGGUCCUGGGUUCAAUCCCCAGUACCUGCA
RNAcentral lists this transfer RNA (72 nucleotides) under Camelus bactrianus (Bactrian camel). It matches the Rfam family "tRNA". From Rfam's summary of the family: Transfer RNA (tRNA) molecules are approximately 80 nucleotides in length. Their secondary structure includes four short double-helical elements and three loops (D, anti-codon, and T loops). RNAcentral also lists the same sequence under 2 other names. The record is from Rfam by way of RNAcentral. Lineage: Eukaryota; Metazoa; Chordata; Mammalia; Artiodactyla; Camelidae.